This 595-nucleotide ribosomal RNA is filed under the name Dyadobacter sp. StRD774. Its description in RNAcentral is "bacterial SSU rRNA". It matches the Rfam family "Bacterial small subunit ribosomal RNA", at positions 102 to 694 of the family's 1533-position model. The record is from RNAcentral. Lineage: Bacteria; Pseudomonadati; Bacteroidota; Cytophagia; Cytophagales; Spirosomataceae.
ACGGGUGCGUAACGCGUAUGCAACCUACCUAUCACUGGGGGAUAGCCCGGGGAAACCCGGAUUAAUACCGCAUAAUACAGGGGGCCCACAUGGGUCUAUUUGUUAAAGAUUUAUCGGUGGUAGAUGGGCAUGCGUUCGAUUAGCUAGUUGGCAGGGUAACGGCCUACCAAGGCGACGAUCGAUAGGGGAGCUGAGAGGUUGAUCCCCCACACGGGCACUGAGAUACGGGCCCGACUCCUACGGGAGGCAGCAGUAGGGAAUAUUGGGCAAUGGAUGCAAGUCUGACCCAGCCAUGCCGCGUGCCGGAUGAAGGCCCUCAGGGUUGUAAACGGCUUUUAUUCGGGAAGAAGAGCAGGGAUGCGUCCCUGUGUGACGGUACCGAAUGAAUAAGCACCGGCUAACUCCGUGCCAGCAGCCGCGGUAAUACGGAGGGUGCGAGCGUUGUCCGGAUUUAUUGGGUUUAAAGGGUGCGUAGGUGGCUGUUUAAGUCAGUGGUGAAAUACGGUUGCUCAACAAUCGAGGUGCCAUUGAUACUGAAUAGCUUGAAAUAAUUGGAGGCUGCCGGAAUGGAUGGUGUAGCGGUGAAAUGCAUAGA